GAUGAACGCUAGCUACAGGCUUAACACAUGCAAGUCGAGGGGCAGCAUGGUCGAAGCUUGCUUCGACUGAUGGCGACCGGCGCACGGGUGCGUAACGCGUAUCGAACCUGCCCUAUACACGGGGAUAGCCUUGCGAAAGUAAGAUUAAUACCCGAUGCCAAGUUGAGAUCGCAUGAUUUUGAUUUGAAAGAAAUUCGGUAUAGGAUGGCGAUGCGUCUGAUUAGGUAGAUGGCGGGUAAGGCCCACCAUGCCGACGAUCAGUAGGGGUUCUGAGAGAAGGUCCCCCACAUUGGAACUGAGACACGGUCCAAAACUCCUACGGAGGCAGCAGUGAGGAAUAUGGUCAAAUGGUCGCGAGACUGAACCAGCCAAGUAGCGUGCAGGAUGACGGCCCUCUGGGUGUAAACUGCUUUGUGGAU
This 419-nucleotide ribosomal RNA is filed under the name uncultured bacterium. RNAcentral's name for it is "bacterial SSU rRNA". It matches the Rfam family "Bacterial small subunit ribosomal RNA", at positions 28 to 442 of the family's 1533-position model. The record is from RNAcentral.